AAACCAGCACCUCAAGUGGUCAGGAGGAUUAUUGGGCCUAAAGCAUCCGUAGCCUGCUCUGUAAGUUUUCGGUUAAAUCCAUAUGCUCAACAUAUGGGCCGCCGAAAAUACUGUGGAACUAGGGAGUGGGAGAGGUAGACGGUACUCGGUAGGAAGGGGUAAAAUCCUUUGAUCUAUUGAUGACCACCUGUGGCGAAGGCGGUCUACCAGAACACGUUCGACGGUGAGGGAUGAAAGCUGGGGGAGCAAACCGGAUUAGAAACCCCGGUAGUCC
This 274-nucleotide ribosomal RNA is filed under the name uncultured bacterium. RNAcentral describes it as "partial 16S ribosomal RNA". It matches the Rfam family "Archaeal small subunit ribosomal RNA", at positions 473 to 747 of the family's 1478-position model. The record is from RNAcentral.